RNAcentral lists this ribosomal RNA (388 nucleotides) under Syndiniales sp. RNAcentral describes it as "partial small subunit ribosomal RNA". It matches the Rfam family "Eukaryotic small subunit ribosomal RNA", at positions 582 to 975 of the family's 1831-position model. Lineage: Eukaryota; Dinophyceae; Syndiniales. The record is from RNAcentral.
AUUCCAGCUCCAAUAGCGUAUAUUAAAGUUGUUGCGGUUAAAAAGCUCGUAGUUGGAUUUCUGUUGAGAACGACCGGUCCACUCAACGAGUGCGCAUCUGGUUCGGUCUCGGCAUCCUCUCAAAAAACGACUCUGCGCUUGAUUGCGUGGAUCGGAGUUUGGGACUUUUACUUUGAGGAAAUUAGAGUGUUCACGGCAGGCUAUCGCCAGAAUACAUUAGCAUGGAAUAAUACUAUAGGAUCUUGAUCCUAUUUUGUUGGUUUCUAGGAGCAAGAUAAUGACUAAUAGGGACAAUUGGGGGCAUUCGUAUCAACACGUCAGAGGUGGAAUUCUUGGAUUGUGUUGCGACGAACUACUGCGAAAGCAUUUGCCAAGGAUGUUUUCAUCG